AAUAGACUGACUAAUCUCAUGGUACAAGACUGGUAGCAAUAGCAUCACGUGUUUCGGCCAUGGUACCAUCAUCUUCUAGUGGUAGAGCGUUGGCGCCUGUAAAUGGCAAUGGGGGCUGCACAUACGCAUCAUUGUCAAACUUGUCAAAAUGCUCAUCAUGCAACUUGCUAUCACGAAUGAAGUUGUGGAGACACAUGCAUGCAGUGACAACCAUCUUUUGGCUCUCCGGUUUGUACCGUGGUAUGCCUCCAAGAAUUCGCCAUUUCAUCUUGAGAACACCGAAUGUUCUUUCAAUGACAUUUCGCAAAGAAGAAUGACGAUGGUUGAAUGUCUCAUGUCUACCAAUGGGUGGGUGUUGUUGGAACUCUGGUACAUGGUAUCGUUGCCCUUUGUAUGGUGCUAGAUAUCCAACCCUGUUUGGAUAUCCAGAGUCCACAAGGUAAUAUUUAUCUAUAGUAAAACAUCAUAAGCUAUUAGAAAUGUAGUACGUACCAUCAUGUACAUAACAAAAUACAUACAAGAGACUACUUGUGGGAGGUUGUGGAAAAUGAUCAUAACGAACUAUAGCAUCGCUCCAUACACGUGUGUCAUGAACAGAUCCGGGCCAUCUAGGAACAACAAAAGUGAACCUCAUAUCGAAAUCACAGACUGCCAUGACAUUUUCACUUGUAACCCCUUUCCUAUUCCUGUGUUGUGGCUCCAACUCCUUAGGCACAAUCACUUCAAUGUGUGUUCCAUCUAUGGCUCCAAUAGCAUUUUUGAAAUGAGGCCAGAACUUUGUUUUUCUUAGUAUGGGGUGCGGUUCAGAGAAAGAUGGAUCAAUAGGCCUAAUGAAAUCACCAGCCAUGCGGUCCACACACUCCAAAACCUCAUGAAAUUUUUUGUUGAUGACAGAACGACUAUGUCCAAACCGAUCUGCUACAUUAUCAGUGGUUUGGCACGUCCCCAAAGUCCAUAAAAACUGUGCCAAUGCUUCUUUCGAUGAUAUGUUGCAAGUUGACUUAAGCCCGUACUUCUCAACUAACAAUUCAUGCAAUGAGUAAAAAACUGACCUCCUCAUUCUGAACAUAGAGUAGAAAGCUUUUGCAUCUUGCUCCUUCUCUGCCACCCAUUGGAGGCCUGUAACAAGGUGUGACUUUCUUGGUGCAUACGGCAAUAUCUCACUUGGCGACCCCACUUCCAUAGCACAUGCAAACAUGGCCAAAUCCCAUUCCUUAUCUGAUCCAUCUGAAGAUUCAUCUGAAGUGUCCAUCUGCCACAUAAACAUACACAGGAGAGUUUAGCAACAACAUACAAAAUUACCAACAAUAGUUCUACAUGAUACAAUACAGUUCCAAAGCAAAUAAUUAUGUUCUGAACAAGUGAACAUUGCAUUAUGAGAGCAAACAACAUGUUCAGGACAUUACAAGUUGGAAGCAAAGGACUGGGUUCACAACAUUACAUGUUUCGAAGCAAAUGGUUGGAAGCAAAUGAUACAUAUCGGUUCACAUCAUUACAAGUUCAAAGCAAAUAGUUGGGUUCUACUUAUUUUUGUUGAGCUCCCAUGUCCUCUCUAUCCAUCGAAGCCUUGCACUAGGUUCAUGAUCCUUGAAUGUUACGAAAAUAUCAAGAUAUUUCCUUUCCAACAUAAGAUGGGAAGCAUAGAAAUGCACAUCACUCCCAGGUUUAGCACCAUCUGCAAUCACCAUGUUCAUCAUGUCUCCAGUCUCCUUUCUUGUUGUAUCCUCUCCUAGGUUUCCCUUUCUCUUUUCCCUUGCACCAAAGAGGUCAACCAUACGUACAAGUGCAUCGGUUUUAACACUUUCAUUUGACCACUUCUCAUUCAUCCUAGGACUUGGCGAAUAAGAACAUGGCAUCUUCUUCCCAAUCUUGGCACGCUUCGUACGAGGUGUAGCUUCGACAUCAUGACUUUCACAACCUGAAUCAUCAUCCAUAUUAAAGCGAG
RNAcentral lists this long non-coding RNA (1945 nucleotides) under Triticum aestivum (bread wheat). RNAcentral's name for it is "long non-coding RNA (TAES_LNC005006)". The record is from RNAcentral. Lineage: Eukaryota; Viridiplantae; Streptophyta; Magnoliopsida; Poales; Poaceae.